GACAGAGGGGGCGAACGUUGUCCGGAGUCACUGGGCGUAAAGCGCGCUCAGGCGGCAACCUAAGUGUCGUGUGAAAGCCCCCGGCUCAACCGGGGGAGGCCAUGGCAAACUGGGUCGCUCGAGCUGCGGAGAGGCCCCUCGAAUUGCCGGUGUAGCGGUGAAAUGCGUAGAGAUCGGCAGGAAGACCAAUGGGGAAGCCAGCGGGCGGGCCGAAGGCUGACGCUGAGGCGCGACAGCGUGGGGAGCAAACCGG
This 253-nucleotide ribosomal RNA is filed under the name uncultured bacterium. RNAcentral's name for it is "partial 16S ribosomal RNA". It matches the Rfam family "Bacterial small subunit ribosomal RNA", at positions 524 to 776 of the family's 1533-position model. The record is from RNAcentral.